GAUGAAGAACGCAGUGAAAUGCGAUACGUAAUGUGAAUUGCAGAAUUCAGUGAAUCAUCGAAUCUUUGAACGCAUAUUGCGCUCUCUGGUAUUCCGGAGAGCAUGCUUGUUUGAGUAUCAGUAAACACCUCAACUUCCAUAUCUUUUUUGAAAUGGGAGUUGGACUUGAGUGAUCCCAACGCUUUUCCUCACCGAAAAGUGGCGGGUUACUUGAAAUGCAGGUGGAGCUGGACUUUUCUCUGAGCUAUAAGCAUAUCUAUUUAGUCUGCCUAAAAAACAGAUUAUUACCUUUGCUGCAGCUAACAUAAAGGAGAUUAGUUCUUGUGCUGACUGAUGCAGGAUUCACAAAGACAGGCUUCGGCCGACUUUGUAAACUCGAUCUCAAAUCAAGUAAGACUACCCGCUGAACUUAAGCAUAUCAAUAAGCGGAGGA
Molecule: unclassified non-coding RNA, 433 nt
Filed under: soil metagenome
Description: partial contains 5.8S ribosomal RNA, internal transcribed spacer 2, and large subunit ribosomal RNA
Rfam family: 5.8S ribosomal RNA (bases 1-120)
Source: RNAcentral